UGAGCAAUCUGCCCUUCUCAUCGGAAUAAGCGUUGGAAACGACGUCUAAUGCCGAAUACGACCUCCUUUCGCAUGAUCGGAGGUGGAAAGCUCCGGCGGAGAAGGAUGAGCUCGCGGCCUAUCAGCUAGUUGGUGUGGGUAAUGGCCUACCAAGGCGACGACGGGUAGCCGGCCUGAGAGGGCGACCGGCCACACUGGGACUGAGACACGGCCCAGACUCCUACGGGAGCAG
Molecule: ribosomal RNA, 232 nt
Filed under: uncultured bacterium
Lineage: Bacteria
Description: partial 16S ribosomal RNA
Rfam family: Bacterial small subunit ribosomal RNA
Source: RNAcentral